Molecule: unclassified non-coding RNA, 379 nt
Filed under: uncultured Gammaproteobacteria bacterium
Lineage: Bacteria; Pseudomonadati; Pseudomonadota; Gammaproteobacteria
Description: contains 16S-23S intergenic spacer region
Source: RNAcentral
UCCGGUUUGUCACCGGCAGUCCCACUAGAGUGCCCAACUGAAUGAUGGCAACUAGUGGCAAGGGUUGCGCUCGUUGCGGGACUUAACCCAACAUCUCACGACACGAGCUGACGACAGCCAUGCAGCACCUGUGUCCAGGCUCCCUUUCGGGCACCCCCACCUCUCGGCAGGGUUCCUGGCAUGUCAAGGGUAGGUAAGGUUUUUCGCGUUGCAUCGAAUUAAUCCACAUCAUCCACCGCUUGUGCGGGUCCCCGUCAAUUCCUUUGAGUUUUAAUCUUGCGACCGUACUCCCCAGGCGGCGAACUUCACGCGUUAGCUACGGUACUAAAGAAGUCUCCUUCUCCAACACCUAGUUCGCAUCGUUUAGGGCGUGGACUAC